RNAcentral lists this transfer RNA (71 nucleotides) under Loxodonta africana (African savanna elephant). It matches the Rfam family "tRNA". From Rfam's summary of the family: Transfer RNA (tRNA) molecules are approximately 80 nucleotides in length. The record is from Rfam by way of RNAcentral. Lineage: Eukaryota; Metazoa; Chordata; Mammalia; Proboscidea; Elephantidae.
UUGUUGGCAGUUCAGUGGUAGUAUUCUCGCCUUCCAUGUUAGAGACCUGGAUUCAAUUCCCAGCCAACAUA